This 303-nucleotide ribosomal RNA is filed under the name uncultured bacterium. RNAcentral describes it as "partial 16S ribosomal RNA". It matches the Rfam family "Bacterial small subunit ribosomal RNA", at positions 510 to 808 of the family's 1533-position model. The record is from RNAcentral.
AGCAGCGCCGCGGUAAUACGUAGGGUGCAAGCGUUAAUCGGAAUUACUGGGCGUAAAGCGUGCGCAGGCGGUUAUAUAAGACAGAUGUGAAAUCCCCGGGCUCAACCUGGGAACUGCAUUUGUGACUGUAUAGCUAGAGUACGGCAGAGGGGGAUGGAAUUCCGCGUGUAGCAGUGAAAUGCGUAGAUAUGCGGAGGAACACCGAUGGCGAAGGCAAUCCCCUGGGCCUGUACUGACGCUCAUGCACGAAAGCGUGGGGAGCAAACAGGAUUAGAGACCCCUGUAGUCCCUGUCUCUUAUACA